Small nuclear RNA from Cercocebus atys (sooty mangabey), 62 nucleotides. Its record names the gene U7. It matches the Rfam family "U7 small nuclear RNA". Rfam says of the family: Animal histone pre-mRNAs are spliced by a different mechanism than nuclear pre-mRNAs and self-splicing introns. The record is from Ensembl. NCBI's taxonomy places the organism in Eukaryota, Metazoa, Chordata, Mammalia, Primates, Cercopithecidae.
UGAAGUUACAGCUUUCAGAAUUUGUUUAGCGGGUUUUCCGGUUUUCACUUGAAAAUGCCCCA